Molecule: ribosomal RNA, 1498 nt
Filed under: uncultured bacterium
Lineage: Bacteria
Description: 16S ribosomal RNA
Rfam family: Bacterial small subunit ribosomal RNA
Source: RNAcentral
AGUUCGAUUAUGGCUCAGGAUGAACGCUGGCGGCAUGCCUAAUACAUGCAAGUCGAACGGAGUGAAGCCUUCGGGUUUCAUUCAGUGGCGAACGGGUGAGUAAUACGCAGGGAACCUGGCCAUGGCAGGGGGAUACACUCUGGAAACGGAGCAUAAGACCCCAUAGGCAGUAAGGCGGCAUCGCCUUACUGUUAAAGAAAGCUGAAAGGCUUUGGCGAUGGAUGGACCUGCGGUGCAUUAGCUUGUUGGUGAGGCAACGGCUUACCAAGGCGAUGAUGCAUAGCCGGCCUGAGAGGGCGGACGGCCACACUGGGACUGAGACACGGCCCAGACUCCUGCGGGAGGCAGCAGUAGGGAAUUUUCGUCAAUGGGCGCAAGCCUGAACGAGCAAUGCCGCGUGAGUGAGGAAGGUCUUCGGACUGUAAAGCUCUGUUGCCGGGGAAAAAGGGGAAAUGCAGGAAAUGGCAUUUCAUGGAUGGUACCCGGCCAGAAAGCCACGGCUAACUACGUGCCAGCAGCCGCGGUAAUACGUAGGUGGCGAGCGUUAUCCGGAAUGAUUGGGCGUAAAGGGUGCGCAGGCGGUCUGUUAAGUCUGAAGGCAAAGGGAUGAGCUCAACUCAUUUAUGAUUCAGAAACUGGCAGACUUGAGGACAGGAGAGGGCGGUGGAACUCCAUGUGUAGCGGUAAAAUGCGCAGAGAUAUGGAAGAACACCAGUGGCGAAGGCGGCCGCCUGGCCUGUGACUGACGCUGAGGCACGAAAGCGUGGGGAGCAAAUAGGAUUAGAUACCCUAGUAGUCCACGCCGUAAACGAUGAGGAGCAGGUGUUGGGAGUGAAAUCUCAGUGCCGAAGCCAACGCAGUGACUCCUCCGCCUGGGGAGUAUGCACGCAAGUGUGAAACUCAAAGGAAUUGACGGGGGCCCGCACAAGCGGUGGAGUAUGUGGUUUAAUUCGAAGCAACGCGAAGAACCUUACCAGGUUUUGACAUCGGAUGCGAAGGCGCAGAGAUGCGCUGGAGGCUAUCAUCCAGACAGGUGGUGCAUGGUUGUCGUCAGCUCGUGUCGUGAGAUGUUCAGUUAAGUCUGGCAACGAGCGCAACCCCCGUGGUAUGUUACUAACGCUUUAGGGCGAGGACUCAUAUCAGACUGCCGGUGACAAACCGGAGGAAGGCGGGGAUGACGUCAAAUCAUCAUGCCCCUUAUGACCUGGGCUACACACGUACUACAAUGGCGUCUACAGAGGGAAGCGACCCUGAGAAGGGAAGCGAAACCGGAAAAGGGCGUCCCAGUUCGGAUUGAAGUCUGCAACCCGACUUCAUGAAGAUGGAAUCGCUAGUAAUCGCGGAUCAGCAUGCCGCGGUGAAUACGUUCCCGGGCCUUGUACACACCGCCCGUCAAACCAUGGAAGCCGGCAACGCCCGAAGCCGGUGGCAUAACCUUUUAGGAGUGAGCCGUCGAAGGCGGGGCCGAUGACUGGGGUUAAGUCGUAACAAGGUACCC